AGUGAACGCUGGCGGUAGGCCUAACACAUGCAAGUCGAACGGCAGCACAGUAAGAGCUUGCUCUUACGGGUGGCGAGUGGCGGACGGGUGAGGAAUACAUCGGAAUCUACUUUUUCGUGGGGGAUAACGUAGGGAAACUUACGCUAAUACCGCAUACGACCUACGGGUGAAAGCAGGGGAUCUUCGGACCUUGCGCGAUUGAAUGAGCCGAUGUCGGAUUAGCUAGUUGGCGGGGUAAAGGCCCACCAAGGCGACGAUCCGUAGCUGGUCUGAGAGGAUGAUCAGCCACACUGGAACUGAGACACGGUCCAGACUCCUACGGGAGGCAGCAGUGGGGAAUAUUGGACAAUGGGCGCAAGCCUGAUCCAGCCAUACCGCGUGGGUGAAGAAGGCCUUCGGGUUGUAAAGCCCUUUUGUUGGGAAAGAAAAGCAGCAGGUUAAGACCCCGCUGUUCUGACGGUACCCAAAGAAUAAGCACCGGCUAACUUCGG
This 491-nucleotide ribosomal RNA is filed under the name uncultured bacterium. RNAcentral describes it as "partial 16S ribosomal RNA". It matches the Rfam family "Bacterial small subunit ribosomal RNA", at positions 29 to 506 of the family's 1533-position model. The record is from RNAcentral.